Molecule: long non-coding RNA, 501 nt
Organism: Thalassophryne amazonica
Lineage: Eukaryota; Metazoa; Chordata; Actinopteri; Batrachoidiformes; Batrachoididae
Exons: 4
Source: RefSeq, a predicted model, not a curated record
CUCAUUGGAAGCUAUAGGAAGCGUUUAGAGCAGGGCUAUUCAGCUGGCGGCCUGCGGCCCUUUAAUAAGUUUGGACCGGCCCGCGGCCCAUUUACCCAUAAAUAUUAAUAAAUACAUGAUCAAAACCUGCUACAAAGCGCAUUUGCCAAUUUUUGGCAUUUUACGACACUCUGUGGCGCUUUGCGGCACGUUAGCACUGUUUCCAAACAGCCCCACCUCAUGUGAAGGCAUUGUGGGCACUCGAACAGUUGGUGGUGGUAAUGUACCAUAUUGGUUUGCAAACCGCCAGUAAACUCGAACGAAGAAGAAGACAACAACAACAGGCUGCAUUCAAAGGAGAAGAGAAGAGCAUUUGUCUCAAUUGUACAUCUGAGAGUAAUAGUACAGGUCACGUGAAUGUCCGGCCCACAGAUCAUAGGAUUCUGACAAAUUUGGCCCCCGGAAAAAUAUAGUUGAAUAGCCCUGAUUUAGAGGCUUCCUCAACUUGCUAGAAGAAAUGGU